Molecule: small nucleolar RNA, 151 nt
Filed under: Bos taurus (domestic cattle)
Lineage: Eukaryota; Metazoa; Chordata; Mammalia; Artiodactyla; Bovidae
Also listed under: 1 other name
Description: Small nucleolar RNA U3 (ENSBTAG00085015351.1)
Rfam family: Small nucleolar RNA U3
About the family: Small nucleolar RNAs (snoRNAs) are involved in the processing and modification of rRNA in the nucleolus. There are two main classes of snoRNAs: the box C/D class, and the box H/ACA class. U3 snoRNA is a member of the box C/D class.
Source: RNAcentral
AAGACUAUACUUUCAGGGAUCAUUUCUAUAGUUCGUUACUAGAGAAGUUUCUCUGAUCGUGUAGAGCACCCGAAACCACGAGGAAGAGACGCAGCGUUUUCUCCUGAGCGUGAAAAAAAAUAAAUAAAUAAAAUAAAAUGCACGUGUGUGU